ACCAACAUGGCGGCGCCUACGAAUUUCGACAGUAUAAUUACGAAGUUAAAUAAUUAUAGCUCUUGUCUUGAAGAGAGUGUGCAAAGUGAUACACUAUUAGAGUUAAAAACCGAGCUAUCAUUAAUACCUCCAUCUUCCUUACGUAUUAUAGUGCCAAAAUUGAACAUUGAAGCUAUUUUUGAUUGCUUAAAUGCAAGUACGAGUGAACAAAUCGAACUGACAUGUGAUCUGCUAGAGAGGUUGCUACAAGUACUACCUCCUAUUUUGAUGUUACAACGUUUCGAUGAUCAUUUGCUGCGGGCAUUGUCUCAUCCCAGUGCUGAUGUGAGACAAAUGUUAUUAGUACAGAUAGCCCACUGUCUUUCUGAUGGCUCUGCAGUCCAGGAGCUCACCAGAAGGAUAGAUAUCCUCACAAAAACUGUACAGCUGCUGGCAGAUGAUGAUGUCAACGUGACUGCCCUCUCAAAACAGGCAUUGCUGAAACUAGCAGAGAGUCAAAAUGGCAGAAACAUACUGUUCUCUACUAAUACUUUUCCCCACAUGCAGGCCGUUAUGAAGGCCAGUGACACGGCAAAGUUCCGUGUUUACGAGGUGAUUGUGAGAGUAGCUUCAUUUAGUGCUGAUGGGCUGGUACAGGCAGCACAGACAGGCGCCCUAGCACAGCUCAUCGGAGAGAUUGAGAAUGGGGACGUCCUACUACAGCUGAAUGCCCUCGACCUUCUCUCAGAUCUUGCACUCACCGAGUAUGGUCUAUCCUUCCUUGAGCAGCAGGGUGUGUUGAAGACCCUGGCUCACAUGUUAGACAGCAUAGAUGCCAAUCUGCUGUCAACAUAUCUCCUGCCAGGUCUGAUCAAAUUCUUUGGUAAUGUCGCUCAUCAUAACCCAAAGGAGAUUUGCAGCCGGCACCAAGUAUUUGUCAAUGUGCUGUUCACGAACUUAGAAUCCUGCAAUCUCACAAUCCAGGGCAUAGCUGUGGACACAUUAGGAGUCAUAGGUUCUACCGCCGAGGGCAAGUUGUCAUUAGAUAAACAAGGCCAGCUGAUUGAUCGAGCACUGAAAAUAUUAGGCACGAUUAUUAAGGAUUCGCCAUCUAACAUGCGGCUCCGUGCAAUCCACUCUGUUUGCACCCUACUGACCCUCCAGGUUUCCUGCCAAACAGACGAACUCCUCGCUUUAACUGAAGCGUGGUUCAGCAAGCUGUUUGAGCGCCCUCUAGAGGUCUUCACGAGGAUCGCUCAACAACCAUUUGUAGACCUUCAUUGCGGUUCAUUGGCAGUGAUAGCAGCCAUUGCCUUGCAGCCAUGGGGCCAAAAGGCAAUCUACAACGAAGCUGGUUUACUAGAAUACAUACUUGAUCGCCACACGGAGACCAGAAAGGAAGGAAGAGAUGCAAAAUUCGAGGUGGUGAAAACGUUGGUUGAAUCGCCCACCGCCCAAGACAUAUUUGGCAGGCCAGAUUUCAUGCGCCUCAGAGGUUUCUAUGCCGACGGAGUUUACUAUGUGAAAGCACAACAUGCUGUUGCCAUGGAAGGAGGUGGGCCCUAACCUGGUCCCUGUGUACCUGAUCCUACUAAAUAUUUUGCGCCAUGUCAAUGUAAAAAUCAAUGAAAAUUAAUUUAGUGUUUAGCAGCCAUUGACUUGCGUUGGAAAUCACUCUCAACAGUAAGUGGUGAGGAUUGUUUUGCCCGGUGAAGCAAUAGCAAAGAGUGAGUUUUCAUCGGUAGUCUUCAUUGGCAAGUGUAAACGUUUUUAUCGAUUUGCAUCUGAUAAAGUUCGUUAUCACCUUGCGUGUCGGUGGUGUUUAUUUGACAUGCAUUAUUCACAAACACUUGUGGCACUUGUAAAUGUUAAGCUGUCUUCAUUGAAGAGCAAUAUCACGUUCUGAAUGCUGGUGGUAAGUGGUCUCAAAUGCCACAACACAGCAGAGUAGCGAGAAUUGAAUGGAAACAUGUCGAAAACGAGUAGAAUAGAUCAAUAGCUACGUCUACACGACGAACCUUAACUCGAGUUAAGCUAACUCGAGUUAGCGGUUAUGUAGCGUCUACACG
Priapulus caudatus is the source of this 2048-nucleotide RNA transcript. It is a transcript of the gene named 26S proteasome non-ATPase regulatory subunit 5-like, with no coding region annotated. Lineage: Eukaryota; Metazoa; Priapulida; Priapulimorpha; Priapulimorphida; Priapulidae. The record is from RefSeq and is a predicted model, not a curated record. The transcript is spliced from 9 exons.